CAGUCGCCGCGGGAAUACGAAGGGUGCAAGCGUUAAUCGGAAUUACUGGGCGUAAAGCGUGCGUAGGCGGUGAGUUAAGUCUGCUGUGAAAUCCCCGGGCUCAACCUGGGAAUGGCAGUGGAUACUGGCUCGCUAGAGUGUGUCAGAGGAUGGUGGAAUUCCCGGUGUAGCGGUGAAAUGCGUAGAGAUCGGGAGGAACAUCAGUGGCGAAGGCGGCCAUCUGGGACAACACUGACACUGAGGCACGAAAGCGUGGGGAGCAAACAGGAUUAGAUACCCCAGUAGUCCCUGUCUCUUAUAC
Molecule: ribosomal RNA, 301 nt
Filed under: uncultured bacterium
Lineage: Bacteria
Description: partial 16S ribosomal RNA
Rfam family: Bacterial small subunit ribosomal RNA
Source: RNAcentral